GGUCGCUUAGCUCAGUUGGUUAGAGCGUGGUGCUAAUAAUCCAUCGCUAGGAGCUCUGCUCCUACAAACGGACCUUCAGUUAACGCCAAGGUCGCGAGUUCGACCCUCGUAGUGACCA
This 118-nucleotide transfer RNA is filed under the name Bipolaris maydis (southern corn leaf blight pathogen). RNAcentral describes it as "tRNA-Ile". It matches the Rfam family "tRNA". Rfam says of the family: Transfer RNA (tRNA) molecules are approximately 80 nucleotides in length. Their secondary structure includes four short double-helical elements and three loops (D, anti-codon, and T loops). The record is from RNAcentral. Lineage: Eukaryota; Fungi; Ascomycota; Dothideomycetes; Pleosporales; Pleosporaceae. RNAcentral also lists the same sequence under 2 other names.